Molecule: ribosomal RNA, 492 nt
Filed under: uncultured bacterium
Lineage: Bacteria
Description: partial 16S ribosomal RNA
Rfam family: Bacterial small subunit ribosomal RNA
Source: RNAcentral
AGUGAACGCUGGCGGUAGGCCUAACACAUGCAAGUCGAACGGCAGCACAGUAAGAGCUUGCUCUUACGGGUGGCGAGUGGCGGACGGGUGAGGAAUACAUCGGAAUCUACUUUUUCGUGGGGGAUAACGUAGGGAAACUUACGCUAAUACCGCAUACGACCUACGGGUGAAAGCAGGGGAUCUUCGGACCUUGCGCGAUUGAAUGAGCCGAUGUCGGAUUAGCUAGUUGGCGGGGUAAAGGCCCACCAAGGCGACGAUCCGUAGCUGGUCUGAGAGGAUGAUAGCCCACCUGGGAGCGGAGCCCGGGCCAAGCCUACUGCGGGAGGCAGCAGUGGGAAAUGGGGGACAGUGGGGGCAAGCCUGACCCAGCAAUCCGGCGGGGGUAAAGAAGGCUUCGGGUUUGUAAAGCCUUUUUUUGGGGAAAAAAAAGCGUCAGGUUAAUACCCCGCUUGUGUGACGGUACCAAAAAAAGAAGCACCGGCUAACUACGUG